RNAcentral lists this unclassified non-coding RNA (253 nucleotides) under uncultured Cryomorphaceae bacterium. Its description in RNAcentral is "contains 16S-23S intergenic spacer region". It matches the Rfam family "Bacterial small subunit ribosomal RNA", at positions 524 to 776 of the family's 1533-position model. Lineage: Bacteria; Pseudomonadati; Bacteroidota; Flavobacteriia; Flavobacteriales; Cryomorphaceae. The record is from RNAcentral.
UACGGAGGAUCCAAGCGUUAUCCGGAAUCAUUGGGUUUAAAGGGUGCGCAGGCGGUCUAUUAAGCCAGUGGUGAAAGCCCUCGGCUCAACCGGGGAAUUGCCAUUGGAACUGAUAGACUUGAGUACAGUCGGAGUGAAUGGAAUACGUCAUGUAGCGGUGAAAUGCAUAGAUAUGACGUAGAACACCCAUCGCGAAGGCAGUUCACUAGACUGUCACUGACGCUCAGGCACGAAAGCGUGGGGAGCGAACAGG